RNAcentral lists this ribosomal RNA (423 nucleotides) under uncultured prokaryote. RNAcentral describes it as "bacterial SSU rRNA". It matches the Rfam family "Bacterial small subunit ribosomal RNA", at positions 355 to 774 of the family's 1533-position model. The record is from RNAcentral.
UGAGGAAUAUUGGUCAAUGGGCGCAAGCCUGAACCAGCCAUCCCGCGUGCAGGAAGACGGCCCUAUGGGUUGUAAACUGCUUUUCCAGGGAGAGAAACUUACGCACGUGUUGCGUGACUGACGGUACCCUGGGAAUAAGCAUCGGCUAACUCCGUGCCAGCAGCCGCGGUAAUACGGAGGAUGCAAGCGUUAUCCGGAUUCAUUGGGUUUAAAGGGUGCGUAGGCGGGCUAUUAAGUCAGUGGUGAAAUCCUGCAGCUUAACUGCAGAACUGCCGUUGAUACUGAUAGUCUUGAGUUUGGUUAAGGUAGGCGGAAUGUGUAAUGUAGCGGUGAAAUGCUUAGAUAUUACACAGAACACCAAUUGCGUAGGCAGCUUACUGAGCCGACACUGACGCUGAGGCACGAAAGCGUGGGGAUCAAACA